GAUGAACGCUGGCGGCGUGCCUAAUACAUGCAAGUCGAGCGAACAGACGAGGAACUUGCUCCUCUGACGUUAGCCGCGGACGGGUGAGUAACACGUGGAUAACCUACCUAUAAGACUGGGAUAACUUCGGGAAACCGGAGCUAAUACCGGAUAAUAUAUUGAACCGCAUGGUUCAUUAGUGAAAGACGGUUUUGCUGUCACUUAUAGAUGGAUCUGCGCCGCAUUAGCUAGUUGGUAAGGUAACGGCUUACCAAGGCAACGAUGCGUAGACGACGUGAGAGGGGGAUCGGCCACAUUGGAGCUGAGACGCGGUCCAGACGCCUGCGAGACGCCGCAGAAGGGAAUCGGCCGCAAUGGGCGAAAGCCUGACGGAGCAGCGCGACGUGAGUGAUGACGGUCUUGGGAGCGGAAAACUGUGUUAUUAGGGAAAAACAAAUGUGUAAGUAACUAUGCACGUCUUGACGGUACCUGGUCAGAAAGCCACGGCUAACUACGUG
RNAcentral lists this ribosomal RNA (497 nucleotides) under uncultured bacterium. RNAcentral describes it as "partial 16S ribosomal RNA". It matches the Rfam family "Bacterial small subunit ribosomal RNA", at positions 28 to 507 of the family's 1533-position model. The record is from RNAcentral.